CAUUAAAGCCAUACACCCUGAAUGCCCCUGAUCUCAGAAGCUGAGCAGGGUUGGUCAUGGCUAGUGC
Molecule: ribosomal RNA, 67 nt
Filed under: Fukomys damarensis (Damara mole-rat)
Lineage: Eukaryota; Metazoa; Chordata; Mammalia; Rodentia; Bathyergidae
Source: RNAcentral